This 488-nucleotide ribosomal RNA is filed under the name uncultured Alphaproteobacteria bacterium. RNAcentral's name for it is "bacterial SSU rRNA". It matches the Rfam family "Bacterial small subunit ribosomal RNA", at positions 9 to 524 of the family's 1533-position model. Lineage: Bacteria; Pseudomonadati; Pseudomonadota; Alphaproteobacteria. The record is from RNAcentral.
GAGUUUGAUCAUGGCUCAGAACGAACGCUGGCGGCAUGCCUAACACAUGCAAGUCGAACGAGACCUUCGGGUCUAGUGGCGCACGGGUGCGUAACGCGUGGGAAUCUGCCCUCUGGUACGGAAUAACUCGGGGAAACUUGAGCUAAUACCGUAUAAUGACUUCGGUCCAAAGAUUUAUCGCCUGAGGAUGAGCCCGCGUCGGAUUAGCUAGUUGGUGAGGUAAAAGCUCACCAAGGCGACGAUCCGUAGCUGGUCUGAGAGGAUGAUCAGCCACACUGGGACUGAGACACGGCCCAGACUCCUACGGGAGGCAGCAGUGAGGAAUAUUGGUCAAUGGGCGCAAGCCUGAACCAGCCAUGCCGCGUGCAGGAUGACGGUCCUAUGGAUUGUAAACUGCUUUUGUACAGGAAGAACACUCCCUCGUGAGGGAACUUGACGGUACUGUAAGAAUAAGGAUCGGCUAACUCCGUGCCAGCAGCCGCCGUAAG